GUGAAUCAUCGAAUUUUUGAACGCAAAUUGCACUUUCUGGUAUUCCGGAAAGUAUGCCUGUUUGAGGGUCAGUUAAAUAAAAAUAGGUGUUGUUGCUGCCUUUUGUGGGUACGCGUCGGAUUUGAGUGGACUUACCCUCGGUUAAUCUUCUUAAAAUUUUUUCAUGAUUUUCGAACGUAUUUAAAUCGUUUACGUACGUUUGAGAUAUCGACAGCUUAUUUGGUUUUGUUUUU
Molecule: unclassified non-coding RNA, 233 nt
Filed under: Glomus sp.
Lineage: Eukaryota; Fungi; Glomeromycota; Glomeromycetes; Glomerales; Glomeraceae
Description: partial contains 5.8S ribosomal RNA and internal transcribed spacer 2
Rfam family: 5.8S ribosomal RNA (bases 1-71)
Source: RNAcentral